CUAAGAAUAUUCCGCAAUGGACGAAAGUCUGACGGAGCGACGCCGCGUGGAUGAAGAAGGCCGCAAGGUUGUAAAAUCCUUUUGCUGGGGAAGAAUAAGCGCAGGAGGGAAUGCCUGCGUGAUGACAUGAACCGGCGAAUAAGCCCCGGCCAACUACGUGCCAGCAGCCGCGGUAACACGUAGGGGGCAAGCGUUGUUCGGAAUUACUGGGCGUAAAGGGCAUGUAGGCGGUUUAGUAAGCUUGGCGUGAAAGACCACGGCUUAACUGUGGGGUUGCGUUGAGAACUGCUGAACUUGAGUUACGGAGAGGGAGCUAGAAUUCCUGGUGUAGGGGUGGAAUCUGUAGAGAUCAGGAAGAAUACCGAUGGCGAAGGCAAGCUUCUGGCCGACAACUGACGCUGAGACGCGAAAGCGUGGGGAGCAAACA
RNAcentral lists this ribosomal RNA (427 nucleotides) under uncultured prokaryote. RNAcentral's name for it is "bacterial SSU rRNA". It matches the Rfam family "Bacterial small subunit ribosomal RNA", at positions 355 to 774 of the family's 1533-position model. The record is from RNAcentral.